UAGCUAAAUGCGGAAGAGAUAAGUGCUGAAAGCAUCUAAGCACGAAACUUGCCCCGAGAUGAGUUCUCCCUGAGACUUUAAGUCUCCUGAAGGAACGUUGAAGACGAUGACGUUGAUAGGCCGGGUGUGUAAGCGCAGCGAUGCGUUGAGCUAACCGGUACUAAUGAACCGUGAGGCUUAACCUUACAACGCCGAAG
This 197-nucleotide ribosomal RNA is filed under the name Klebsiella pneumoniae. Its description in RNAcentral is "partial 23S ribosomal RNA". It matches the Rfam family "Bacterial large subunit ribosomal RNA", at positions 2746 to 2925 of the family's 2925-position model. RNAcentral also lists the same sequence under 1 other name. The record is from RNAcentral. Lineage: Bacteria; Pseudomonadati; Pseudomonadota; Gammaproteobacteria; Enterobacterales; Enterobacteriaceae.